This 252-nucleotide ribosomal RNA is filed under the name uncultured bacterium. Its description in RNAcentral is "partial 16S ribosomal RNA". It matches the Rfam family "Bacterial small subunit ribosomal RNA", at positions 524 to 776 of the family's 1533-position model. The record is from RNAcentral.
UACGUAGGGUGCAAGCGUUGUCCGGAAUUAUUGGGCGUAAAGAGCUCGUAGGCGGUCUGUUGCGUCCGCUGUGAAAACUCGGGGCUUAACCCCGAGCCUGCAGUGGAUACGGGCAGACUAGAGGUAGGUAGGGGAGAAUGGAAUUCCCGGUGUAGCGGUGAAAUGCGCAGAUAUCGGGAGGAACACCGGUGGCGAAGGCGGUCUCUGGGCCUUACCUGACGCUGAGGAGCGAAAGCGUGGGGAGCGAACAGG